ACUCCCCGCUCGGCCCCGCGGAAGCUCCGCCGCGCCAUGUCUUCGCCUCCCGAAGGGAAACUAGAGACUAAAGCUGGACACCCGCCCGCCGUGAAAGCUGGUGGAAUGCGAAUUGUGCAGAAACACCCACAUACAGGAGACACCAAAGAAGAGAAAGACAAGGAUGACCAGGAAUGGGAAAGCCCCAGUCCACCUAAACCCACUGUGUUCAUCUCUGGGGUCAUCGCCCGGGUAAGUCUGGGAGCGUCUGCGGUGGGUUUGAGGCUUUUGCAUGGCAGCAUGGAGUCUCCUGGUUGCUUCUGGUUUUGUUAAACUCUACCUGGAAUAACCCAGCACCACUGCUCAUCUCCUCUGUGGCCAUGGCUCUCUUCAUUGCCGCGUUUCCCCAGAGGCUGCUUCUGCAGACCGCAGGCCAGACGCGCAUCCUUUACCUUUCCAGAGCCGCCGUCUGGGUGACAAAGAUUUCCCCCCGGCGGCUGCGCAGGUGGCUCACCAGAAGCCGCAUGCCUCCAUGGACAAGCAUCCUUCCC
This 530-nucleotide small RNA is filed under the name Pan troglodytes (chimpanzee). RNAcentral's name for it is "retained intron". The record is from RNAcentral. Lineage: Eukaryota; Metazoa; Chordata; Mammalia; Primates; Hominidae.